UCGGUAGCAAUUGUGGUUCGUCCUUAUCCAGGUUGCAGAGGUUGUGAGGAUCGGACAAACAAUCCGACAAGCGCUCCAUUGUCCAGCAAGUAUCAAAUCACCAGGUCUAGUUAACGGAAACAUCUGGAUUCAAGACCAAGAUCCGCAGCCCAGUCCCAAAAUGUUUCAUUUCCUGGGAAAAAGGUCGCCAACAUGGCAUAGCAAACCUAGAGUGCUCUUGGAGAACCUCAUGGAUGGAUUUGGUUAUGAGUCACUCAUCCCUUACACAUGAAUUGCCCAAGAUCGCCUGAAGAAGCUCUUUUGCUGAAAUUGUGACGUAUAUUUACUACUGUUACGCCAUCCAUACAUAAUAGGAUUGGCAAACAAACUGGAGAAACACGCAUACUAUAGAUUGCUGCUAUCCUAAGCUAGGUUCGAACAAAGUGGCACCCACCCGCACUGCUGAACAUGGUUAACCACACUAGUCAUCAAUCCGUGCCACUGCAAGGGCUAUCUCUUUUUGAAUGCGCAAAAUAAAAUGUGAUUUAUGGUGUUUGCUUAUUGGAGAUUUUACUAGCCAAAACAAACAGGGAAUGUUCCAUUUUAAAGAUAUUACUAUUAGUGACAGGAAAAAGUAUUUGUUUCCUCCUCAGGCACUUCUUUAAGAUUAAUAAAAUAAAUCCUUGUAUAUGGUGUCAUAAUUUACACUAACCUACAAAAGAAACAUGACAAAAAUGACUACAUGCUUAAAGAAAAGAAAGUGAACUUCAACUCAAGUGAAUCCAUCAAUGCUUCCCUUUGGCUAAUUUAGAUUAUCGAUCCAAAAUGAUAAUCAUGAUCUAACAGCAUGUAUCAUAGGCAAAUUAAGAAUAAUUAGCUGAAAAAAACGUAAUCGAAAGUGCUCUUGUGAGCUCGAGCUCACAUGCACCCUUUGCUACAGUAAAAUAAAAAAAAUCAUAACAAUCUGGAUUUUUUUGUCAACAAACAUUGAUGUGUUUUCCACAUGCGUGCAAAAACACGUGACAAAAUGACAUUCAUGCAGGCCUCAGCAAAAAAAAUUGAUGCUUCAAAAAGUGUUUUUUAGCAUAAUAUUGUUUUUUUUUUGCUGAGACCUCCACAAAUGUCAUACCAUCACGAAAAUUGGCACACAUGUGAAACAUAUAUCAAUGUUUGUUGUAAAAAAAAUCAGAUUUUUUUUUGAAUUUUAUUAGUGUUUUUUCGGAUUUUUACUGUAGCGAGUAAUUAUGAAGCUACUUCCAUAUGUAUAAAAUAGAUAGGAACUUACACAAAGAUUAUUUUUGGGGGGUGGGGUAAGAACGUAUAUCAUGCUAUUUGAUAUAUAGGCAGGUGAAUAAGAAUCCAGGCCCAAAAAAUUAUUACUUUCACCUUAUUUCAAGUGUGAAGCAAAUCUCCGUCUCUUAGUGGUGAAUCUGAAUACUAAAAAUUCAACUGAAUCCAUGUUUUCUUCUUUUUCCUCUUCAACCAUAAAUCUGGAAAAAAAUCUACGUCCCUUUUUCAUGUAUUUUUUCUAUAGAUAUUGUCGGUUCAUACAUGGGGAUAGCUUGCAACAGCAAUGAGAAAAUAUGACGGCAGCAUAAGCCUUAUUCUCACUGUAAAGAAAAGUUCAAGUAAAAAUUGUCAUUGUUACCUAAACAAUAUAACAUGGAUCAAAUAAGAAAGCAACUGGUAGACUUGUUGAUCAGAAGAACAAUCAUUGUUACCUAAACAAUAUAACAUGGAUCUAUGUUGCUAAACAUGAAACUCGUUAACUUACAUUAAUAUUGCAAGGGUUUGUGUUGUGCUGCAUAAUUAAAUGCACCGUACUAACUGGAUAAUCUGAAUGGUAGUACAUGUCGAACCAUUGAAAAUUCAAAUCCAAAGUGCAAGUGUGUGCUACCUUGGUUCUUUGUUGUUUCUGCACAUGCCUCGUUAUCGUACACCACUCUUUUCCCUUGGUCAAUCAUGAAUUUUACUGUUUCAUACUGGAUUCCUUGAUUUACAUAGAUCUUGAGGAAUCCGAUAGAGUGAACAUAUAAAGAGCUAGUAACAAACAGUUGUAAAAUUACACGGCUAUACAUGAAUAUACUUCAGUUAUACAGUGGACAAUGAACAGGAAGAUGAAAAUCUGUAGUACAAUACAAUUUGGCCUAUCGUGGCAACAAAAUUUGGAUGGUACUCUCUCCCUCGGUAAAUCCUGAAGUUUAUCCUUUCAUGUUCGAUUGCCUGAUUUACAAAGAUUUGGUAGGAUCCAAUAGAGUUGAUACACAGAGAAAGAGCUGGUAAUGAAACAGUGGUAAAUUCAUUCCGAUGUAUAUUAAUAUAGUUUAGUUAUAUGGUGGAAACUGAACAUGCCACUAUUGCAAACCACCCCAUUAGCUGAGGACAAUGAAAACCAUAGCACAAUACAACCUAAAAUUAAAAUUUGGCCUACCAUGGCAGCAAAAAAACAUAGGGCAACUGAGAUUAGCUAUAUAUGUCGACAUAAGAAAAAAUGAUCUAAUGUAAAUUUAGUGCUAGCAGUCAUCUAGCUUACCUAGGUAGAAAUAAGAGGACGGAUCAACACAAACAUCAAAUUGGAGUCCUGGAUCAUGAAAAUCACGCCUCAAUCCUCAUAAUCAAACGAAAAUAUUAAUUAACAGAACAAUAUGAUUUCACUUGUA
This 2639-nucleotide long non-coding RNA is filed under the name Triticum aestivum (bread wheat). RNAcentral's name for it is "long non-coding RNA (TAES_LNC006292)". The record is from RNAcentral. Lineage: Eukaryota; Viridiplantae; Streptophyta; Magnoliopsida; Poales; Poaceae.